AUACGGAGGGUGCAAGCGUUACUCGGAAUCACUGGGCGUAAAGCGCGCGCAGGCGGCUAUUUAAGUUGGAUGUGAAAGCCUACGGCUCAACCGUAGAACUGCAUCCAAAACUAUUUAGCUAGAGUGUGGGAGAGGAAGAUGGAAUUAGUUGUGUAGGGGUAAAAUCCGUAGAGAUAACUAGGAAUACCAAAAGCGAAGGCAAUCUUCUGGAACACUACUGACGCCGAGGCGCGAAAGCGUGGGGAGCAAACGGGAUUAGAUACCCUAGUAGUCC
RNAcentral lists this ribosomal RNA (274 nucleotides) under uncultured bacterium. RNAcentral describes it as "partial 16S ribosomal RNA". It matches the Rfam family "Bacterial small subunit ribosomal RNA", at positions 523 to 796 of the family's 1533-position model. The record is from RNAcentral.